UUAAGUGACUAAGCGUACACGGUGGAUGCCUGGGCAGUCAGAGGCGAUGAAGGACGUACUAACUUGCGAUAAGCGCAGAUAAGGCAGUAAGAGCCGUUUGAGUCUGCGAUUUCCGAAUGGGGAAACCCAACUGCAUAAGCAGUUACUGUUAACUGAAUACAUAGGUUAACAGAGCAAACCGGGGGAACUGAAACAUCUAAGUACCCCGAGGAGAAGAAAUCAACCGAGAUUCCGGUAGUAGCGGCGAGCGAACCUGGAUUAGCCCUUAAGCACUCGGUGAAGUAGGUGAACAAGCUGGAAAGCUUGGCGAUACAGGGUGAUAGCCCCGUAACCGACGCUUCAUCGAGCGUGAAAUCGAGUAGGGCGGGACACGUGAUAUCCUGUCUGAAUAUGGGGGGACCAUCCUCCAAGGCUAAAUACUCCUGACUGACCGAUAGUGAACCAGUACCGUGAGGGAAAGGCGAAAAGAACCCCUGUGAGGGGAGUGAAAUAGAACCUGAAACCGUGUACGUACAAGCAGUAGGAGCACCUUCGUGGUGUGACUGCGUACCUUUUGUAUAAUGGGUCAGCGACUUAUAUUCAGUGGCAAGGUUAACCGUAUAGGGGAGCCGUAGCGAAAGCGAGUCUUAACUGGGCGUUCAGUCUCUGGAUAUAGACCCGAAACCGGGUGAUCUAGCCAUGGGCAGGUUGAAGGUUGAGUAACAUCAACUGGAGGACCGAACCGACUAAUGUUGAAAAAUUAGCGGAUGACUUGUGGCUAGGGGUGAAAGGCCAAUCAAACUCGGAGAUAGCUGGUUCUCCCCGAAAGCUAUUUAGGUAGCGCCUCGGACGAAUACUACUGGGGGUAGAGCACUGUUAAGGCUAGGGGGUCAUCCCGACUUACCAACCCUUUGCAAACUCCGAAUACCAGUAAGUACUAUCCGGGAGACACACGGCGGGUGCUAACGUCCGUCGUGGAGAGGGAAACAACCCAGACCGCCAGCUAAGGUCCCAAAGUAUUGCUAAGUGGGAAACGAUGUGGGAAGGCUCAGACAGCUAGGAUGUUGGCUUAGAAGCAGCCAUCAUUUAAAGAAAGCGUAAUAGCUCACUAGUCGAGUCGGCCUGCGCGGAAGAUGUAACGGGGCUAAGCAAUACACCGAAGCUGCGGCAAUAUCUUUUAGAUAUUGGGUAGGGGAGCGUUCUGUAAGCCGUUGAAGGUGAAUCGUAAGGUUUGCUGGAGGUAUCAGAAGUGCGAAUGCUGACAUGAGUAACGACAAAGGGGGUGAAAAACCUCCUCGCCGGAAGACCAAGGGUUCCUGUCCAACGUUAAUCGGGGCAGGGUGAGUCGACCCCUAAGGUGAGGCCGAAAGGCGUAAUCGAUGGGAAACGGGUUAAUAUUCCCGUACUUCUGACUAUUGCGAUGGGGGGACGGAGAAGGCUAGGUGGGCCAGGCGACGGUUGUCCUGGUUCAAGUGCGUAGGCUUGAGAGUUAGGUAAAUCCGGCUCUCUCUAAGGCUGAGACACGACGUCGAGCUACUACGGUAGUGAAGUCAUUGAUGCCAUGCUUCCAGGAAAAGCCUCUAAGCUUCAGAUAGUCAGGAAUCGUACCCCAAACCGACACAGGUGGUCGGGUAGAGAAUACCAAGGCGCUUGAGAGAACUCGGGUGAAGGAACUAGGCAAAAUGGUACCGUAACUUCGGGAGAAGGUACGCUCUUGAUGGUGAAGUCCCUCGCGGAUGGAGCUGACGAGAGUCGCAGAUACCAGGUGGCUGCAACUGUUUAUUAAAAACACAGCACUGUGCAAAAUCGCAAGAUGACGUAUACGGUGUGACGCCUGCCCGGUGCCGGAAGGUUAAUUGAUGGGGUUAGCGCAAGCGAAGCUCUUGAUCGAAGCCCCGGUAAACGGCGGCCGUAACUAUAACGGUCCUAAGGUAGCGAAAUUCCUUGUCGGGUAAGUUCCGACCUGCACGAAUGGCGUAAUGAUGGCCACGCUGUCUCCACCCGAGACUCAGUGAAAUUGAAAUCGCUGUGAAGAUGCAGUGUACCCGCGGCUAGACGGAAAGACCCCGUGAACCUUUACUACAGCUUGGCACUGAACAUUGAACCUACAUGUGUAGGAUAGGUGGGAGGCUAUGAAGACGUGACGCCAGUUGCGUUGGAGCCGUCCUUGAAAUACCACCCUUGUAUGUUUGAUGUUCUAACUUAGACCCGUUAUCCGGGUUGAGGACAGUGCCUGGUGGGUAGUUUGACUGGGGCGGUCUCCUCCCAAAGAGUAACGGAGGAGCACGAAGGUGGGCUAAUCACGGUUGGACAUCGUGAGGUUAGUGCAAUGGCAUAAGCCCGCUUAACUGCGAGAAUGACGGUUCGAGCAGGUGCGAAAGCAGGUCAUAGUGAUCCGGUGGUUCUGUAUGGAAGGGCCAUCGCUCAACGGAUAAAAGGUACUCCGGGGAUAACAGGCUGAUACCGCCCAAGAGUUCAUAUCGACGGCGGUGUUUGGCACCUCGAUGUCGGCUCAUCACAUCCUGGGGCUGAAGUCGGUCCCAAGGGUAUGGCUGUUCGCCAUUUAAAGUGGUACGCGAGCUGGGUUUAGAACGUCGUGAGACAGUUCGGUCCCUAUCUGCCGUGGGCGUUGGAAGAUUGAAGGGGGCUGCUCCUAGUACGAGAGGACCGGAGUGGACGAACCUCUGGUGUUCGGGUUGUGUCGCCAGACGCAUUGCCCGGUAGCUAAGUUCGGAAUUGAUAAGCGCUGAAAGCAUCUAAGCGCGAAGCGAGCCCUGAGAUGAGUCUUCCCUGA
Molecule: ribosomal RNA, 2773 nt
Filed under: Vibrio cholerae
Lineage: Bacteria; Pseudomonadati; Pseudomonadota; Gammaproteobacteria; Vibrionales; Vibrionaceae
Description: bacterial LSU rRNA
Rfam family: Bacterial large subunit ribosomal RNA
Source: RNAcentral